CGGUGUCUUUUCUUCUGUCAUUUAUAUGUCUAACUAUCCCGAACAUGGCCUCCGAAGUAUGACAGACUCAGAGAUUAGACUCACGCAUUUUGCUGACUUCAUCGCUUUAUCGUCGAAUAUUAUUAAAAGUGAAGUCGGAGGAGAACGGGGAAGGGCGUCAAAGAUCUGCAGAGCCUGGAGAUCAAUAAACAGCAUGGAGAAUAGUGGGCAGAGAGCCUGGGCAGCGUUGGAUUUGAUGCCAUUAUCUUGGACCCAUGUGGAGAAAAUGCAACCUUUCAUCAAGCACCUGUGGGAACCAGCAAAAGCUGAACUGAUGGGCCGAUACGGACAUCUAAGGAAAGGUUCGGUGGAGGCCCGUCACUGUGACAAGAUGAUGUGGUGAUUUUUGGGGAAAAAAAAACACAGAGAAAGGUCAUUUUACAACUAGAGAGG
Long non-coding RNA from Brienomyrus brachyistius, 432 nucleotides. RefSeq lists it as uncharacterized. The record is from RefSeq and is a predicted model, not a curated record. The transcript is spliced from 3 exons. NCBI's taxonomy places the organism in Eukaryota, Metazoa, Chordata, Actinopteri, Osteoglossiformes, Mormyridae.